Carassius carassius (crucian carp) is the source of this 632-nucleotide non-coding RNA. The record is from the annotation of a RefSeq genome assembly. Lineage: Eukaryota; Metazoa; Chordata; Actinopteri; Cypriniformes; Cyprinidae.
AUAAAACAAAAGUCUCAGUCAGUGUUUGUGUCCAGCUGCAGUGAAGAUAAAUAUUUUUCUCUACAGUUCAUGGUUUCAGGGUGAUGAUGGAAGUGUUACUGCAUUUAGUUCUGCUGUUGAUCAUUUCAUCUGUUAGUGGUCAGUCUUUGACCUCCUCAGACUCUGUGGUGAAAAAGCCUGGAGAAUCAGUGACUCUGUCCUGCACUGUGUCUGGAUUCUCAAUGAGUUACUGGAUGCACUGGAUCCGUCAGAAACCAGGGAAAGCACUGGAGUGGAUUGGAUUUAUAGACACUGGCUCAAGUGCAUAUUAUUCUCAGUCUCUACAGGGACAGUUCUCCAUCACCAAAUACACCAGCAAAAACAUGCUGCAUUUAGAGGUGAAAAGCCUGAAGACUGAAGACACAGCUGUUUAUUACUGUGCUAGAGACUCACAUAGUAACCCAGCCUUAGCUUGGAUCAGACAGACUGCAGGAGGAGGUCUGGAGUGGACGGCAUACAUCUCACCUAGUAGUGCUAUAUACUACUCUCAGUCUGUUCAGGGACGCUUCACCAUCUCCAGAGACAACAGCAAGAAACAGAUGUAUCUGCAGAUGAAUAAUAUGAAGAAUGAAGACACUGCUGUAUAUUAUUAA